UGCGCAGCAUCUCCUAUCCCUACCUACUCGUGGUACUGGCCGGGGUACGAGUAACCUUGGGGAAGAUCGGGUAAUCAAACCUGGUGGGAACUUUAGUCGUAUGCUGACAGGGAAGG
Molecule: ribozyme, 116 nt
Filed under: Aedes aegypti (yellow fever mosquito)
Lineage: Eukaryota; Metazoa; Arthropoda; Insecta; Diptera; Culicidae
Description: drz-agam-1 ribozyme
Rfam family: drz-agam-1 ribozyme
Source: Rfam by way of RNAcentral